This 1240-nucleotide ribosomal RNA is filed under the name metagenome. RNAcentral describes it as "bacterial LSU rRNA". It matches the Rfam family "Bacterial large subunit ribosomal RNA", at positions 1564 to 2815 of the family's 2925-position model. The record is from RNAcentral.
UGAAUACGAGACGCUAAGGCGUCGAAGUAGUGUAUGUCAUACUUCCAAGAAAAGCUUGCACUGUCAUAGAUAAAAAACGCCUGUACCAUAACCGACACAGGUGGGUAGGUAGAGUAUACUAAGGGGCGCGAGAUAACUCUCUCUAAGGAACUCGGCAAAAUAACUCCGUAACUUCGGGAGAAGGAGUGCCUUAUUCGUAAGGUUGCAAUAACAAGAUCCAAGCAACUGUUUAUCAAAAACACAGGUCUCCGCUAAGUCGUAAGACGAUGUAUGGGGGCUGACGCCUGCCCAGUGCCAGAAGGUUAAAGAAGUUGGUUAGCAAUUGCGAAGCUGAUAACUGAAGCCCUGGUGAACGGCGGCCGUAACUAUAACGGUCCUAAGGUAGCGAAAUUCCUUGUCGGGUAAGUUCCGACCCACGAAAGGCGUAAUGAUUUGGAUACUGUCUCGGAGAGGGGCUCGGUGAAAUAGACUUGUCUGUGAAGAUGCGGACUACCUGCACCAGGACAGAAAGACCCUAUGAAGCUUUACUGUAACUUGAAAUUGAAAUUGGACUUUAUUCGCGCAGUAUAGGUGGGAGGCGUUGAUUAUAAUCUCGUGGGAUUAUUGGAGCCAUCAGUGAGAUACCACUCUUGUAAUGUUAGAUUUCUAACUUUGAAUCAUUAUCUGGUCAAAGAACAGUUUCAGGCGGGCAGUUCGACUGGGGCGGUCGCCUCCUAAACGGUAACGGAGGCGUACAAAGGUUUCCUCUGAACGGUUAGAAAUCGUAUCUAGAGUGUAAAGGCAUAAGGAAGCUUGACUGUGAGACCUACAAGUCGAGCAGGGACGAAAGUCGGUCUUAGUGAUCUGACGGUACUGAGUGGAAAGGCCGUCACUCAACGGAUAAAAGUUACUCUAAGGAUAACAGGCUGAUCUCCCCCAAGAGUUCACAUCGACGGGGAGGUUUGGCACCUCGAUGUCGGCUCAUCGCAUCCUGGGGCGGUAGUACGUCCCAAGGGUUGGGCUGUUCGCCCAUGAAAGCGGUACGCGAGCUGGGUUCAGAACGUCGUGAGACAGUUCGGUCCAUAUCCGGUGUAGGCGUUAGAAUAUUGAGAGGAGCCUUCUUUAGUACGAGAGGACCGAGAAGGACAUACCUCUGGUGUACCAGUUAUCGUGCCAACGGUAAACGCUGGGUAGCUAUGUAUGGAGUGGAUAACCGCUGAAAGCAUCUAAGUGGGAAGCCCACCUCACGAUAAGUAUUCUC